UUUGUAUAAUGGGUCAGCGACUUAUAUUCAGUGGCAAGGUUAACCAUCUAGGGGAGCCGUAGGGAAACCGAGUCUUAACUGGGCGUUCAGUCUCUGGAUAUAGACCCGAAACCAGGUGAUCUAGCCAUGGGCAGGUUGAAGGUUGAGUAACAUCAACUGGAGGACCGAACCGACUAAUGUUGAAAAAUUAGCGGAUGACUUGUGGCUAGGGGUGAAAGGCCAAUCAAACCUGGAGAUAGCUGGUUCUCCCCGAAAGCUAUUUAGGUAGCGCCUCGGACGAAUACUACUGGGGGUAGAGCACUGUUAAGGCUAGGGGGUCAUCCCGACUUACCAACCCUUUGCAAACUCCGAAUACCAGUAAGUACUAUCCGGGAGACACACGGCGGGUGCUAACGUCCGUCGUGGAGAGGGAAACAACCCAGACCGCCAGCUAAGGUCCCAAAUUACUACUAAGUGGGAAACGAUGUGGGAAGGCUCAGACAGCCAGGAUGUUGGCUUAGAAGCAGCCAUCAUUUAAAGAAAGCGUAAUAGCUCACUGGUCGAGUCGGCCUGCGCGGAAGAUGUAACGGGGCUAAGUAGUAAACCGAAGCUGCGGCAAUAUACUUUUGUAUAUUGGGUAGGGGAGCGUUCUGUAAG
RNAcentral lists this ribosomal RNA (636 nucleotides) under Vibrio parahaemolyticus. Its description in RNAcentral is "partial 23S ribosomal RNA". It matches the Rfam family "Bacterial large subunit ribosomal RNA", at positions 607 to 1247 of the family's 2925-position model. The record is from RNAcentral. Lineage: Bacteria; Pseudomonadati; Pseudomonadota; Gammaproteobacteria; Vibrionales; Vibrionaceae.